This 253-nucleotide ribosomal RNA is filed under the name uncultured bacterium. RNAcentral describes it as "partial 16S ribosomal RNA". It matches the Rfam family "Bacterial small subunit ribosomal RNA", at positions 524 to 776 of the family's 1533-position model. The record is from RNAcentral.
UACGUAGGGGGCGAGCGUUGUCCGGAAUUAUUGGGCGUAAAGAGCGUGUAGGCGGUUCGGUAAGUCUGCCGUGAAAACCUGGGGCUCAACCCUGGGCGUGCGGUGGAUACUGCCGGGCUAGAGGGUGGUAGAGGCGAGUGGAAUUCCCGGUGUAGCGGUGAAAUGCGCAGAUAUCGGGAGGAACACCUGUGGCGAAGACGGCUUUCUGGGCCUUACCUGACGCUGAGACGCGAAAGCGUGGGGAGCGAACCGG